Long non-coding RNA from Ornithorhynchus anatinus (platypus), 2113 nucleotides. RefSeq lists it as uncharacterized. The record is from RefSeq and is a predicted model, not a curated record. The transcript is spliced from 2 exons. Lineage: Eukaryota; Metazoa; Chordata; Mammalia; Monotremata; Ornithorhynchidae.
CGCCAUAUCUAAAAAUAAACAAAGACACUUGGUCAUCAUCAUCAUCAUCAUCGGCAUCUGUCGAGCACUUUGUUGCAUCAGAAUAGUAACUGUUGUUUCAGGGUGCAACCCACUGUACCUGGGCCUGAAGGCAAGCAUAGGUGAAGAAGAAAACCCGAUGUCUGUCCUCAAAGAGCUUAGAAUCCAAUGUGGGAAGGCCAAACAAGAAUCAGACACGAGCCUCGUCGCCUUCCCGAAUCACAUCAGGACAAAGGACUUACUUGUGAGUGUGUGUGUUGGCGAGGGAAGGAGGAGGAAGAGAGAACCUUGGUAAUUUCAUUUUUCAUCUCACUUGCCUCUGCCAAAUUUCCAAGAGAUUAAUAAUUAUUACUCACAAAAUGCUCAUUAGUUGAAGAUUGGAGAAAUAGAUACUGUACUUCAGUUAUUCUCUUUUAUUCUCUGUUGGCCAGACCCCCAAGGCCUAUAAGACAUCAAAGGGACGGAGGUGUGACUUAAGUGUAAAAGUGAAGGCCGAACCGGUAGUGUGCAGGUGCCAGAUCAGAAGACAGGCUGGGGGGAAGGGGGUGUCAAGGACUGUUUUGAAAAGAGGGAGAUUAAAGGGUUCAGGCAGUAAAAGAAGCGUUGCCCCUGACAAAUGAGACGAGACCAGCAGCCGACUAAGGACCGUUCCCAGACCCGGUGGUCGGAGAGGUCUUCCCUCUUCAGAACGGCACGAUCGGGGGCCGUUUGAUAUCGGGCCUUCUAAAUCUGCCCAAAAGUGUAAGUGGAUACCUGAUGCUCCUACUCCUGCCCCUGAAACAAAAGCCUUCUGCCACCAUCGUCGGCAAAAAUGCAACGGAGGGAAAAUCACGCUUCAAAGAGAUAUAGAGAGGCAGAGGAUCCAGGAAAACAAAGCGUCGGGCGACGCAGCUCCUCGGCUGAAAAACGACAGCCGGUCCGCUGCGGCAGACGGACCGGCCCGGGCCACCGCGAUCCAGAAAGGGGCAGCUCUUUUUGCGCAGGAGCUUCGCAAGGACCAAGAGACAAAGAGGAGCUGACAAUCAAAUGGACGAGACAAACAGAAAAAUUACAGAGUGAGCAUAAGAAGUUCAACUAUAACAAGAGGAAACUGCAGAUUACGUAAUUGAAACUAUAAAGGAGUUGUAAAUGUAUCACUCGGGGAUGGUGAAUUACUUAGGAUUUGCUUCCUGAAGACGGAGGAACCUCAGAAGGGCUUGAAGAUGGGGAGAACGUCGGUCUGGCUGAUUUGGCGGGAGGAACAGGGUGAACAAGAAGAGGCUGGAGAGUUGGGGAGUAAGGGGGGUAAAGAAUGCCAAUAUGAUAGUUGGGGAGAUUUGGUGGAAACAACGUAAGAACAACAACCACCACCACCCCCCGCCGUGAGUUUUGUGACUAGGGUCUUGAGGUCGAAGAGAUGGACGAGCAUGCCUAAGCCGCUUCGUACGCCGGAAACGAAUAUUAAAGGCUGCAACCAAUUAAUCUUCUCAGACAAGAAAUUGGAAUCGAAAGACACACGAACCUACCUGUCAGGUAGGCGUUAAACUGCUUCGGCCCACAGCGAACGGCAUAGCGCGUCGUCGUUCUUACGGCCUUUUGCUCGGAUUGGGAAGAAUCUCUGGGACGGAACCGGGUACCAUCUGACGUCUCCCCCCACCACCGCACGCGGAUGUCAGCACAAGUGGGUGGCUUCUUCACCAUCCAUAGGACUUCGCUAAUGGUGAGUUUCAGGAAAGAGUGCAGCUGCCCUUCCACAAGCGGGGGCAGGCUUGUGGAAGGCGAAACAUCACUCAGACCUGUCGAAAACGUAGACGAGACAAAAGAAUGAAUUUGAAGGAGGAAGAAAGAGAUGUGUAGCUAGUAAAGAACUGAAGAAUAUGUUUACUAGAGGCUCCACAAUCCCCACAAUGGGCAGGCUUAACCCACUCAAUGACUUUCAGUCCUGAACGAACGGUUUCUUUAGCUGUCCCGUGGAGCCGUCCCCCUUCGGACGGCUUAUUCCUCGCUUUCCCGGCAUCCUCUCAACGUAAUUACUGCAGAUUUAAGGGACUGUUUUCUUCAGUCAAUUCAUCAACGCUAGUUCUUGAAUGCUUUCAGUAAAGGAAUACAAUAGUAA